UGCUCAGCUGGGAUUCAAACCCACGAUUCUUUUAUGCUAGACGAGCGCUUUACCAAUUCAGUUACCGAGUC
RNAcentral lists this transfer RNA (71 nucleotides) under Aedes aegypti (yellow fever mosquito). RNAcentral describes it as "partial tRNA-OTHER". Lineage: Eukaryota; Metazoa; Arthropoda; Insecta; Diptera; Culicidae. The record is from RNAcentral.